ACAAGUCCUGAUACAUAUAUUAAUGGAAGAAUGUUUUUAAACCGAGUGUGACACUUUAAUUAAAGGUUACCAUUACCUUGAAUAGACCAAGUCUGAUUUUCAAAUGAUACUCUUUUCAAAUAUAAAUAUAGGAAUGUUUUGGAAAUCAUAAUGUUUAUUUAUACCUUUUUACUGCCAAAGAACACGCAGGUGACAAUUGAAAUAUAUUAACAAAUAAAUAUUUCAAGUAAAUGAAUGCAAAUUAAUCAAUAAAUAUGAAAUGAUAUGAUGAAUGCACAUUAAUGAAUAAAUGGUCAAAAUAGAACUCAGAUUUGAUGAAUAUUAUGGCAAUAAAUUACUCAAUGUUGAGCUUACAUAGAUGUGAUCUCUUCGUAUUUUGUCAGGAGAUUCUGAGACUGUAGAGCGAUGUAGUAGCUAUCCAGAUUUUCUGCGAAUACUAGACAAUCCUGAUUCCCGAGUUCUGAAUCUUACAAUGGACAGCAUGAUUUUGGAAUACUAAUAACUAUAUAUCUUGCAGUUUCUCACAGACCCCAUGGACACUUUGUUUACACAAACACCUCUUAAUAAAAUCAAUUUAAAACAAUUUGGUGAAAUCUAUCAGAUGAAGGGCAAAUAA
Long non-coding RNA from Ctenocephalides felis (cat flea), 616 nucleotides. RefSeq lists it as uncharacterized. The record is from RefSeq and is a predicted model, not a curated record. NCBI's taxonomy places the organism in Eukaryota, Metazoa, Arthropoda, Insecta, Siphonaptera, Pulicidae. The transcript is spliced from 3 exons.